This 460-nucleotide unclassified non-coding RNA is filed under the name Hevea brasiliensis (rubber tree). The record is from RNAcentral. Lineage: Eukaryota; Viridiplantae; Streptophyta; Magnoliopsida; Malpighiales; Euphorbiaceae.
CUUCUCUCUCCGCCAUUGCUGUUUUUGGAAUCGAAGCUCAUUUUACAUGGUGAUGUUGGAGCCAACUUGAGUGCACCACGGCUAAUCCCACAGGUUACCUGCUGCCUCCCGUCAAGAGAGGUAAAGGUAACCUUGCUUGCCAAGAAUUACGCAGAUUAAAGGAAUUCACCCCGAUUCUGCGGGAAUCUGUGCAAUCGAGGAUCCUUGACUUAUUUGAAAGCUGCUAUCUUAAAUCAGUUUGGAUUAGCAAUGCCUCCAAAUCCUAGGGUCGAUCGUGCUUUUCGUUCUAUGAAAGCUCUUGGUAUUUCUGGAGAGAAGGUGAAGCCAGUGUUGAAGAAUCUUUUAAGAUUGUAUAACAAAAACUGGGACCUUAUAGAAGCUGAGAACUAUAGGGUCCUUGCCGAUGCAAUAUUUGAUGAUGAUGAAGCAAAGGAUGCAGAAAUUAAAAAGUCAACUGAGG